GGAGGAUGGGUCCUGGAAGGGAUAAAGAACCCAGCCCCAGCUGGUUUAACAGCUGCCCAUUAACAGAACACAUGCUCCCCCUCCGCCGGAGUUAGAAGAGAUAAAGAAAAAACACCUCCCCAGCCGGUUUCAACAGGUUUCUGGCUCCAGCUGCCUGAUUUGGCUCAGCUGCACCCAGCCAAGGGCCAGAUACUUGAGGCAAGAGGCGAUCUGCUGCUCUUAUGGACUCUCCUGCUUUGUCCAGAGCCUGCUUCCCUCCUCAGUAGGGCUGAGAAGAGUUUUUCUGCUGCUCUAAACUGUACUGAACUCUUCCUGGUUUUCAGAUGCUGAUAUUUUUUUUCAAAUGGAGUGGUGCAACCACGAUACAGAAAACCGUCUGGAUUUAAACUUUUUAACUUGAGCAAUGAAAGAAAGCUUUUUAUCCUCUGUGUGUAUGGAGAAUUUUAGGUUUUCUUGGACAUCAGCGAUGUCUACAUGGCUCUUAAAAUGAAAAUAUAUGAUUCCCACAGUAGAAUUCAGACACAAGAUGGCAGAAUCAGAAAGAGGAGAAUGAAUCACUGUCACAAAUACUGUUCCUCUGCUGCACCGACAAGGGAAGAUAAAAUGGAAUCAUUAUACCAGGGAACCACUUGCAGAUUUGAAUUUGGAUCUCCUGUACUGAGAAGAAACUUCUUUUUCCCUCAGUACUAAGUGGGGGGAGCGUGUUCUGUCAUUCUAUUCCAGCAUUUGGCAUUAUUGCAUGAGUUAGUGAGUAAAUAUAGAGAAGAGGGUAUUAAAUGCUACCUUACAGCAGCAUUUUUCUAAACUGCAGUCCUUCCUGCUUCCUGAAAGUUGGUGUUUUUCAGUGAAAAGAAAUCAUUUGUAGUUCUUUCAGCAGUGGAGCAUAAUGAGAGCCAUGCAGGAGGUCAAUUAUGUAGUUCAGUGUGUGAAGACCAUUCACAAAGCUGGAGAUGGAGGGAGGGAAAUAAUUUAGACUGAUGAGAGUUUAGGCAACUUGCCUGUUUUUGGGCAGUUGUAACACCUGUAAACAGGUUUGGGCUAUUGACCUUGCACCUUUGCAGGCAAAGGGAGGAGGUGACACAUCCUCUAAUCCUACAGCCCAGGGUGCAAAGGAGAGGAGCUAUCAGUGCAAGGAGCAGCUGUGAGGGAAGGUUUGGUUAUCACUGAGUACCUGAGUGACGGCAGGAUAUGAACCUGAACUGCACAUUUCCCUUAGACAGGAGCCACAGGAUAUUUUGGAAAGGCUUUUCAACCCCUUGAGGACUUGUCUUCCUGAGGGCCUUAAACACUUCUGGAAAACACAACUCAUACAUCAAACAUAGGAAGGGUACUGAAGUAACCCAUCCUCGACCCCAGAAACCCUGUUUUCAUUCCAUACUUUUGUCCUGAUUCCUACACUUUAUUAUGG
Long non-coding RNA from Hirundo rustica (Barn swallow), 1408 nucleotides. RefSeq lists it as uncharacterized. The transcript has 4 exons. The record is from RefSeq and is a predicted model, not a curated record. NCBI's taxonomy places the organism in Eukaryota, Metazoa, Chordata, Aves, Passeriformes, Hirundinidae.